RNAcentral lists this long non-coding RNA (217 nucleotides) under Solanum tuberosum (potato). RNAcentral's name for it is "long non-coding RNA (STUB_LNC005851)". The record is from RNAcentral. Lineage: Eukaryota; Viridiplantae; Streptophyta; Magnoliopsida; Solanales; Solanaceae.
AACAACAUUAGAGGUAAUCGAGUGUUUUAUUGAAUCAAAUAGAGAAACAAAGACAGAUCAAAGAGGAAGCUAUAUAGGAAAAAAACUAAAAAUCGACAAGAUAUAAUACCAGAGACUAUGUCGGUUUCUGUCUCAGUUAUCACUAUUCAUUUGUGAGUUUCAAGCCUUUCGCUAUUAGAAUUUUUCAAACUCAAAUUUCAAAAAUUAGGUUAAAAUC